UACGAAGGGGGCUAGCGUUGCUCGGAAUCACUGGGCGUAAAGCGCACGUAGGCGGCUUUUUAAGUCAGGUGUGAAAUCCUGGAGCUCAACUCCAGAACUGCCUUUGAUACUGAGAAGCUUGAGUCCGGGAGAGGUGAGUGGAACUGCGAGUGUAGAGGUGAAAUUCGUAGAUAUUCGCAAGAACACCAGUGGCGAAGGCGGCUCACUGGCCCGAUACUGACGCUGAGGUGCGAAAGCGUGGGGAGCAAACAGG
This 253-nucleotide ribosomal RNA is filed under the name uncultured bacterium. RNAcentral's name for it is "partial 16S ribosomal RNA". It matches the Rfam family "Bacterial small subunit ribosomal RNA", at positions 524 to 776 of the family's 1533-position model. The record is from RNAcentral.